UGUGUGUGUGUGUGUGUAGGGAAAGGAUGAGUCAUCUUGCACAAAAUCAAUAAACAGUCUUGUCGCACCUUAAAGACUAACCAAUUUAUUAUGACUUCACUUUUAUGGACUGCAGUCUACUUCAUCAGGUACAUGCAUAGAUGGGUUCAUCCCACGUAGAGACAAUUGAUGAGUAAGGACUCUGCUCCUCAGAUAUUCUGCCCAUUCAAGGAGGCUGGAGACUGUACUUUUAGGGAGGGGACCAUAUAUAGCCCAGUGGUGUAGAACACAUACAUUACUUGAAGAUUGUCCCUGGCACAGCUCCUCUUAAAAGCAUUAGGCAAGAAGUGAUGUGGAAGACCUCUGCCAUAGACCCUUGAGAGGUGCUGCUGAUCAGGGCAGACAGUGCUGGGCUAGAGAUGAACGACCUAAGGCAGCUUUCGAAACAAAAUAAAAAAAUUCCUUCCAGUAGCACCUUAGAGACCAACUAAGUUUGUUAUUGGUAUGAGCUUUCGUGUGCAUGCACACUUCUUCAGAUACCUGUAACUAAGGCAGCUUUGUAAGGGUUGUGGUGUGAGCAUGAAAAAUAUCAAGUUUCCCUUGGGCAAACACAUCAGAUGCAUUCCUUAAUCACAAUCAGGUCAGGGAGCCAUCAUGGG
Molecule: non-coding RNA, 638 nt
Organism: Podarcis lilfordi (Lilford's wall lizard)
Lineage: Eukaryota; Metazoa; Chordata; Lepidosauria; Squamata; Lacertidae
Source: the annotation of a GenBank genome assembly